AUGUCAAGUAUGGCCCUAGGCCUGCAUGGUAAGUCAUCAAAAAUAAGUAAACAUACUGUGUAGGCAUAACAGGAAAAUUCUCUGUGACAGCUUUAAAAACUAUUGUUUAUGUUCAUGCAUAGUGAAUGUUGAUGUCAAUCAGGGGAAUAGGAAUCUUUAUUCACAUUUGUAUUUAAGAACCAGCAAACCAAUUUGCAUAUACCCAAAGGGAUGGUUAAAUGUGGGAAAUUUCAGACAAAUUAGAAGAGUAUCAACAAGCACAACUAAAAAAAGGGUAAGCC
RNAcentral lists this unclassified non-coding RNA (281 nucleotides) under Hevea brasiliensis (rubber tree). The record is from RNAcentral. Lineage: Eukaryota; Viridiplantae; Streptophyta; Magnoliopsida; Malpighiales; Euphorbiaceae.